Molecule: ribosomal RNA, 1472 nt
Filed under: Bacillus subtilis
Lineage: Bacteria; Bacillati; Bacillota; Bacilli; Caryophanales; Bacillaceae
Description: bacterial SSU rRNA
Rfam family: Bacterial small subunit ribosomal RNA
Source: RNAcentral
GACGAACGCUGGCGGCGUGCCUAAUACAUGCAAGUCGAGCGGACAGAUGGGAGCUUGCUCCCUGAUGUUAGCGGCGGACGGGUGAGUAACACGUGGGUAACCUGCCUGUAAGACUGGGAUAACUCCGGGAAACCGGGGCUAAUACCGGAUGGUUGUUUGAACCGCAUGGUUCAAACAUAAAAGGUGGCUUCGGCUACCACUUACAGAUGGACCCGCGGCGCAUUAGCUAGUUGGUGAGGUAACGGCUCACCAAGGCAACGAUGCGUAGCCGACCUGAGAGGGUGAUCGGCCACACUGGGACUGAGACACGGCCCAGACUCCUACGGGAGGCAGCAGUAGGGAAUCUUCCGCAAUGGACGAAAGUCUGACGGAGCAACGCCGCGUGAGUGAUGAAGGUUUUCGGAUCGUAAAGCUCUGUUGUUAGGGAAGAACAAGUACCGUUCGAAUAGGGCGGUACCUUGACGGUACCUAACCAGAAAGCCACGGCUAACUACGUGCCAGCAGCCGCGGUAAUACGUAGGUGGCAAGCGUUGUCCGGAAUUAUUGGGCGUAAAGGGCUCGCAGGCGGUUUCUUAAGUCUGAUGUGAAAGCCCCCGGCUCAACCGGGGAGGGUCAUUGGAAACUGGGGAACUUGAAUGCAGAAGAGGAGAGUGGAAUUCCACGUGUAGCGGUGAAAUGCGUAGAGAUGUGGAGGAACACCAGUGGCGAAGGCGACUCUCUGGUCUGUAACUGACGCUGAGGAGCGAAAGCGUGGGGAGCGAACAGGAUUAGAUACCCUGGUAGUCCACGCCGUAAACGAUGAGUGCUAAGUGUUAGGGGGUUUCCGCCCCUUAGUGCUGCAGCUAACGCAUUAAGCACUCCGCCUGGGGAGUACGGUCGCAAGACUGAAACUCAAAGGAAUUGACGGGGGCCCGCACAAGCGGUGGAGCAUGUGGUUUAAUUCGAAGCAACGCGAAGAACCUUACCAGGUCUUGACAUCCUCUGACAAUCCUAGAGAUAGGACGUCCCCUUCGGGGGCAGAGUGACAGGUGGUGCAUGGUUGUCGUCAGCUCGUGUCGUGAGAUGUUGGGUUAAGUCCCGCAACGAGCGCAACCCUUGAUCUUAGUUGCCAGCAUUCAGUUGGGCACUCUAAGGUGACUGCCGGUGACAAACCGGAGGAAGGUGGGGAUGACGUCAAAUCAUCAUGCCCCUUAUGACCUGGGCUACACACGUGCUACAAUGGACAGAACAAAGGGCAGCGAAACCGCGAGGUUAAGCCAAUCCCACAAAUCUGUUCUCAGUUCGGAUCGCAGUCUGCAACUCGACUGCGUGAAGCUGGAAUCGCUAGUAAUCGCGGAUCAGCAUGCCGCGGUGAAUACGAUCCCGGGCCUUGUACACACCGCCCGUCACACCACGAGAGUUUGUAACACCCGAAGUCGGUGAGGUAACCUUUUAGGAGCCAGCCGCCGAAGGUGGGACAGAUGAUUGGGGUG